Molecule: ribosomal RNA, 497 nt
Filed under: uncultured bacterium
Lineage: Bacteria
Description: partial 16S ribosomal RNA
Rfam family: Bacterial small subunit ribosomal RNA
Source: RNAcentral
GAUGAACGCUGGCGGCGUGCCUAAUACAUGCAAGUCGAGCGAACGGACGAGAAGCUUUCUUCUCUGAUGUUAGCGGCGGACGGGUGAGUAACACGUGGAUAACCUACCUAUUUUACUGGGAGAACUUCGGGAAACCGGAGCUAAUACCGGAUAAUAUUUUCAACCGCAUGGUUCAAAAGUGAAAGACGGUCUUGCUGUCACUUAUAGAUGGAUCCGCGCUGCAUUAGCUAGUUGGUAAGGUAACGGCUUACCAAGGCAACGAUGCAUAGCCGACCUGAGAGGGUGAUCGGCCACACUGGAACUGAGACACGGUCCAGACUCCUACGGGAGGCAGCAGUAGGGAAUCUUCCGCAAUGGGCGAAAGCCUGACGGAGCAACGCCGCGUGAGUGAUGAAGGUCUUCGGAUCGUAAAACUCUGUUAUUAGGGAAGAACAUAUGUGUAAGUAAAUGUGCACGUCUUGACGGUACCUAAUCAGAAAGCCACGGCUAACUACGUG